This 2904-nucleotide ribosomal RNA is filed under the name Escherichia coli. RNAcentral describes it as "23S ribosomal RNA". It matches the Rfam family "Bacterial large subunit ribosomal RNA". The record is from RNAcentral. RNAcentral also lists the same sequence under 2 other names. Lineage: Bacteria; Pseudomonadati; Pseudomonadota; Gammaproteobacteria; Enterobacterales; Enterobacteriaceae.
GGUUAAGCGACUAAGCGUACACGGUGGAUGCCCUGGCAGUCAGAGGCGAUGAAGGACGUGCUAAUCUGCGAUAAGCGUCGGUAAGGUGAUAUGAACCGUUAUAACCGGCGAUUUCCGAAUGGGGAAACCCAGUGUGAUUCGUCACACUAUCAUUAACUGAAUCCAUAGGUUAAUGAGGCGAACCGGGGGAACUGAAACAUCUAAGUACCCCGAGGAAAAGAAAUCAACCGAGAUUCCCCCAGUAGCGGCGAGCGAACGGGGAGCAGCCCAGAGCCUGAAUCAGUGUGUGUGUUAGUGGAAGCGUCUGGAAAGGCGUGCGAUACAGGGUGACAGCCCCGUACACAAAAAUGCACAUGCUGUGAGCUCGAUGAGUAGGGCGGGACACGUGGUAUCCUGUCUGAAUAUGGGGGGACCAUCCUCCAAGGCUAAAUACUCCUGACUGACCGAUAGUGAACCAGUACCGUGAGGGAAAGGCGAAAAGAACCCCGGCGAGGGGAGUGAAAAAGAACCUGAAACCGUGUACGUACAAGCAGUGGGAGCACGCUUAGGCGUGUGACUGCGUACCUUUUGUAUAAUGGGUCAGCGACUUAUAUUCUGUAGCAAGGUUAACCGAAUAGGGGAGCCGAAGGGAAACCGAGUCUUAACUGGGCGUUAAGUUGCAGGGUAUAGACCCGAAACCCGGUGAUCUAGCCAUGGGCAGGUUGAAGGUUGGGUAACACUAACUGGAGGACCGAACCGACUAAUGUUGAAAAAUUAGCGGAUGACUUGUGGCUGGGGGUGAAAGGCCAAUCAAACCGGGAGAUAGCUGGUUCUCCCCGAAAGCUAUUUAGGUAGCGCCUCGUGAAUUCAUCUCCGGGGGUAGAGCACUGUUUCGGCAAGGGGGUCAUCCCGACUUACCAACCCGAUGCAAACUGCGAAUACCGGAGAAUGUUAUCACGGGAGACACACGGCGGGUGCUAACGUCCGUCGUGAAGAGGGAAACAACCCAGACCGCCAGCUAAGGUCCCAAAGUCAUGGUUAAGUGGGAAACGAUGUGGGAAGGCCCAGACAGCCAGGAUGUUGGCUUAGAAGCAGCCAUCAUUUAAAGAAAGCGUAAUAGCUCACUGGUCGAGUCGGCCUGCGCGGAAGAUGUAACGGGGCUAAACCAUGCACCGAAGCUGCGGCAGCGACGCUUAUGCGUUGUUGGGUAGGGGAGCGUUCUGUAAGCCUGUGAAGGUGUACUGUGAGGUAUGCUGGAGGUAUCAGAAGUGCGAAUGCUGACAUAAGUAACGAUAAAGCGGGUGAAAAGCCCGCUCGCCGGAAGACCAAGGGUUCCUGUCCAACGUUAAUCGGGGCAGGGUGAGUCGACCCCUAAGGCGAGGCCGAAAGGCGUAGUCGAUGGGAAACAGGUUAAUAUUCCUGUACUUGGUGUUACUGCGAAGGGGGGACGGAGAAGGCUAUGUUGGCCGGGCGACGGUUGUCCCGGUUUAAGCGUGUAGGCUGGUUUUCCAGGCAAAUCCGGAAAAUCAAGGCUGAGGCGUGAUGACGAGGCACUACGGUGCUGAAGCAACAAAUGCCCUGCUUCCAGGAAAAGCCUCUAAGCAUCAGGUAACAUCAAAUCGUACCCCAAACCGACACAGGUGGUCAGGUAGAGAAUACCAAGGCGCUUGAGAGAACUCGGGUGAAGGAACUAGGCAAAAUGGUGCCGUAACUUCGGGAGAAGGCACGCUGAUAUGUAGGUGAAGUCCCUCGCGGAUGGAGCUGAAAUCAGUCGAAGAUACCAGCUGGCUGCAACUGUUUAUUAAAAACACAGCACUGUGCAAACACGAAAGUGGACGUAUACGGUGUGACGCCUGCCCGGUGCCGGAAGGUUAAUUGAUGGGGUUAGCGCAAGCGAAGCUCUUGAUCGAAGCCCCGGUAAACGGCGGCCGUAACUAUAACGGUCCUAAGGUAGCGAAAUUCCUUGUCGGGUAAGUUCCGACCUGCACGAAUGGCGUAAUGAUGGCCAGGCUGUCUCCACCCGAGACUCAGUGAAAUUGAACUCGCUGUGAAGAUGCAGUGUACCCGCGGCAAGACGGAAAGACCCCGUGAACCUUUACUAUAGCUUGACACUGAACAUUGAGCCUUGAUGUGUAGGAUAGGUGGGAGGCUUUGAAGUGUGGACGCCAGUCUGCAUGGAGCCGACCUUGAAAUACCACCCUUUAAUGUUUGAUGUUCUAACGUUGACCCGUAAUCCGGGUUGCGGACAGUGUCUGGUGGGUAGUUUGACUGGGGCGGUCUCCUCCUAAAGAGUAACGGAGGAGCACGAAGGUUGGCUAAUCCUGGUCGGACAUCAGGAGGUUAGUGCAAUGGCAUAAGCCAGCUUGACUGCGAGCGUGACGGCGCGAGCAGGUGCGAAAGCAGGUCAUAGUGAUCCGGUGGUUCUGAAUGGAAGGGCCAUCGCUCAACGGAUAAAAGGUACUCCGGGGAUAACAGGCUGAUACCGCCCAAGAGUUCAUAUCGACGGCGGUGUUUGGCACCUCGAUGUCGGCUCAUCACAUCCUGGGGCUGAAGUAGGUCCCAAGGGUAUGGCUGUUCGCCAUUUAAAGUGGUACGCGAGCUGGGUUUAGAACGUCGUGAGACAGUUCGGUCCCUAUCUGCCGUGGGCGCUGGAGAACUGAGGGGGGCUGCUCCUAGUACGAGAGGACCGGAGUGGACGCAUCACUGGUGUUCGGGUUGUCAUGCCAAUGGCACUGCCCGGUAGCUAAAUGCGGAAGAGAUAAGUGCUGAAAGCAUCUAAGCACGAAACUUGCCCCGAGAUGAGUUCUCCCUGACUCCUUGAGAGUCCUGAAGGAACGUUGAAGACGACGACGUUGAUAGGCCGGGUGUGUAAGCGCAGCGAUGCGUUGAGCUAACCGGUACUAAUGAACCGUGAGGCUUAACCUU